Molecule: long non-coding RNA, 867 nt
Filed under: Parus major (Great Tit)
Lineage: Eukaryota; Metazoa; Chordata; Aves; Passeriformes; Paridae
Description: lncRNA (ENSPMJG00000013101.1)
Source: RNAcentral
CUCAGAGCGCCGCCGCCUCAGCCGCCCCGCCGGAAGCCCCGCCCCCCGUCCCGCUCUCUGCCAUCUGAUUGGGCAGCGGCUCUGUCAAUCAACCCCGGCGCUUUCCGCCUGGCCAAGCCACGCCCCCACCCUCGCGCUGAAGGGGCGGGGCCGGAAUGAGGGCGCAUCUUAAAGGAGCCGCGUUAUUAUUUCGUGAGGGGAGUGAGGCUCCGCUGAGAGACAGAGAGAUAAAUAAAUAGAUUAAUAAACAAUUUGAGCUUCUGGUGAAGAAACGGGAACUCGUAUGGAGUUCACAUGGAAUUUACGUGGAAUUCACAUGGAAUUGGUGCGACAAUCCAACCCUCUGGGGCCUUUGGUAAAGGCCGGGGAGCAGCUUUGCCCUUGGAGGAGCCGGUGCUGCCUUCACUGAGCAGCAUUUUUGGAGCCCCCAGAGAAUCAUUUCCCCUUCCAUUGGGGAAGGGGAAUAAAAGAUUGGCAGCUCUGUAAGGAUCUCAGACAGGAUUUUAUGGAAUGGGAUUUAGGAAUUUCCAUCUAAAAUCUGCUUUUCCCUUGUUUUUUCCAAGUGGGAAUUCUUUGCUGCAUUCCAAAUCUGAGUGACAGAGAAAUUCAGAGAAAACUGAUUUAUUUUUUUCCCAGGAAAAUUUGAAUUUAUUUGUCUGAAUUCCCUGAUCUCACCCUUGUUUCUAUGGAAUUGUGGAUUUGUGCUUUCUGUGGGAAAAAUUUCUGGUGUUUUUUUCUUGGAGCAGAGGGUUGUAAUGAAAGGAUUUUGUUUUACUUCCCAAACACCACCAAUGAAUGAGUUUCUGAAACAAGGGAGGUACAGGAUGAGUUUAUUUCCUAAAAUAAAAUGGGAUAUCUGAUAUCUCA